This 158-nucleotide ribosomal RNA is filed under the name Ricasolia amplissima. RNAcentral describes it as "5.8S ribosomal RNA". It matches the Rfam family "5.8S ribosomal RNA". Rfam says of the family: 5.8S ribosomal RNA (5.8S rRNA) is a component of the large subunit of the eukaryotic ribosome. It is transcribed by RNA polymerase I as part of the 45S precursor that also contains 18S and 28S rRNA. The record is from RNAcentral. Lineage: Eukaryota; Fungi; Ascomycota; Lecanoromycetes; Peltigerales; Lobariaceae.
AACUUUCAACAACGGAUCUCUUGGUUCUGGCAUCGAUGAAGAACGCAGCGAAAUGCGAUAAGUAAUGUGAAUUGCAGAAUUCAGUGAAUCAUCGAAUCUUUGAACGCACAUUGCGCCCCUUGGUAUUCCGAGGGGCAUGCCUGUCCGAGCGUCAUUAC